RNAcentral lists this non-coding RNA (99 nucleotides) under Limosilactobacillus fermentum. Its description in RNAcentral is "Lactobacillus fermentum 23S-methyl". It matches the Rfam family "23S methyl RNA motif". Lineage: Bacteria; Bacillati; Bacillota; Bacilli; Lactobacillales; Lactobacillaceae. The record is from RNAcentral.
CAUUUAGUAGAUGACAUCGAGCAAUCGUUGGUAUUUAUUAAAGAGCACUUCAUUAAAGCAGCGUUUCGCCGUGGCUACACCGAGACCCUGCUUUUUUUG